This 497-nucleotide ribosomal RNA is filed under the name uncultured bacterium. RNAcentral describes it as "partial 16S ribosomal RNA". It matches the Rfam family "Bacterial small subunit ribosomal RNA", at positions 28 to 507 of the family's 1533-position model. The record is from RNAcentral.
GAUGAACGCUGGCGGCGUGCCUAAUACAUGCAAGUCGAGCGAACAGACGAGGAGCUUGCUCCUCUGGCGUUAGCGGCGGACGGGUGAGUAACACGUGGAUAACCUACCUAUAAGACUGGGAUAACUUCGGGAAACCGGAGCUAAUACCGUAUAACAUGUUGAACCGCAUGGUUCAACAGUGAAAGACGGUCUUGCUGUCACUUAUAGAUGGAUCCGCGCCGCAUUAGCUAGUUGGUAAGGUAACGGCUUACCAAGGCAACGAUGCGUAGCCGACCUGAGAGGGUGAUCGGCCACACUGGAACUGAGACACGGUCCAGACUCCUACGGGAGGCAGCAGUAGGGAAUCUUCCGCAAUGGGCGAAAGCCUGACGGAGCAACGCCGCGUGAGUGAAGAAGGUCUUCGGAUCGUAAAACUCUGUUAUUAGGGAAGAACAAAUGUGUAAGUAACUAUGCACGUCUUGACGGUACCUAAUCAGAAAGCCACGGCUAACUACGUG